This 279-nucleotide long non-coding RNA is filed under the name Gossypium barbadense (sea-island cotton). RNAcentral's name for it is "long non-coding RNA (GBAR_LNC017061)". The record is from RNAcentral. Lineage: Eukaryota; Viridiplantae; Streptophyta; Magnoliopsida; Malvales; Malvaceae.
ACAUCAAAUUAAGUACUUAGCUUAAACUAAUUCCCUAAAGAUGUGUUUAGAUACUAAAAAACAAUUGAAUGGAAGUGUAAUUGCUAGGUAGCAAUUACAUUAUCUUGUAAUUACAAUAAAUUUUAAUUCUCUAAACAUGUUUGAUUGCAUCGCAAUUUCUUAUAUCAUAUUUAAUAGUAUAAAAAUAUAUACCUAGGAAGGGAUUGAAUAAUAAAAUGAAAGAGAAUCUUGAUCCAAAACUUGAAAAUAAUUAAGUUCACUUAGCUUCCCGUUUGUCUC